This is a non-coding RNA of Acanthosepion pharaonis, 114 nucleotides long. NCBI's taxonomy places the organism in Eukaryota, Metazoa, Mollusca, Cephalopoda, Sepiida, Sepiidae. The record is from the annotation of a GenBank genome assembly.
AUACGACCACAUCACGUUGAAACAUCGGUUCCCGUGCGAUUACAGAAGUUAAACACCGUCGAGUUUGGUCAUUACCUAGAUGGGUGACUGUUUGGGAAUUCCAGGUGUUGCAAG